GAAAAAUUUUAUCUAACAAGAGAAGAGGAAAAUGCUAUUUUCCAAACAACAUUCAAGGAAACAACAGGAUGUAAGGCAAACAGACUUCAUGGUCAUGGGUACCUAUCAAGAUAUCCAACAAGAAGUCAAGUGAUGGAAUCAAAGUUCCUCGAACAAGCUCGUGCCACGGUUGCAACCAACCAAAAAAACAUUGAACUCGAAAGUCAGGUCCAGUUGUUAAAUGAAAAACUUGCGUGUGAGGUUGCAGAACGAGAAAGAAUACUCCAGGAAAAAAUGCAAGCACUGCAAGAAGAAGAAGAAAAAAAAAGACAAGUGCUUAGAGAAGAAAUGAGGCAAGAAAUGGUUGCUGCCCUUGCUGUUGUAGCACAACAGAGCAACCGUGAAAGCACCACUCCAAUCGAUCCUUCUUCCGUUGUCCCUACUAAACCUCCUGAAUUCAUCCCAGCUGAUUCUCCUGCACCUGCACCAAGUAGUGCAAACAACGUUCGUACACCAGACACAAACAAUAAGAAAGACAAUAUGCCAGCAAACUAUAUUAGCUCUUACACUCUAAGGAAUGCUGUGACAAGACGUGUGCAGGCAAGGGGCAACAAAAGAAGCGAAUGUGUACAAUCCGCAAGUGCAAGCGAGAAGCAAGGUAGAUCAACUUAAGAAGCUCUAUCAAAGUGUGUUUAAGGUUCCUUGUCGUCGUGAUAUCGUCGUCAGCCUAGCUAACCAUCGCUUGCAUCAAUGGAGGGGAUGGAGGGGUACACGAUGACAAAAAAAACUUCCAAUAAUUUGCUAGUCCUGAGUAGUUUAUUAUCUAUGUUAUCACAACCAAGCUAGUAUGAGGAUGUUAUGACUGUGAGCUAUGUUAUCAAAUUAAUUUGUAUUUGGCCACUAUUUAUUUGGUGCAACCUAUUUGUUACAACUUAUGGUAUGGAUGUAGUUAAUAUAUGAGAUAAGAGACAAAUAUUAUGGUUGUCAAUUUUGGUUCUUACGUUACUGAUG
Molecule: long non-coding RNA, 990 nt
Organism: Zea mays
Lineage: Eukaryota; Viridiplantae; Streptophyta; Magnoliopsida; Poales; Poaceae
Exons: 4
Source: RefSeq, a predicted model, not a curated record